This 468-nucleotide ribosomal RNA is filed under the name uncultured bacterium. RNAcentral describes it as "partial 16S ribosomal RNA". It matches the Rfam family "Bacterial small subunit ribosomal RNA", at positions 28 to 507 of the family's 1533-position model. The record is from RNAcentral.
GACGAACGCUGGCGGCGGGCUUAACACAUGCAAGUCGAACGGCAAGGCAGUGCUUUUGUGGGGUGCUGGAGUGGCGAAGGGGAGAGUAACACGUGAGUAACCUACCCUCGACUUUGGGGUAAUUUCAGGAAACUGGGGCUAAUACCGGAUAGGAUCUCCUGCUGCGUGGUGGGGGUGGGAAAUUUUCGGCGGUGGGGGUUGGACUCGCGGCUUAUCAGCUUGUUGGUGGGGGAGUGGCUGACCAAGGCUUCGACGGGUAGCUGGCCUGGGAGGGGGACCGGCUACAUUGGAACUGAGCUACGGCCCAGACUCCAACGGGAGGCAACGGUGGGGAGUAUUACACAGUGGGAGGGAGCCUGGUGCGACAACGCCGCGUGCGGGAUGACGUCCUGCGGGUAGUGAACCGCAUCCGCUUGAGACGUAGCGUGAGUGACGGUAAUGGGUGAAGAAGCACCGGCUAACUACGUG